RNAcentral lists this ribosomal RNA (519 nucleotides) under uncultured Glomus. RNAcentral describes it as "SSU rRNA". It matches the Rfam family "Eukaryotic small subunit ribosomal RNA", at positions 569 to 1082 of the family's 1831-position model. The record is from RNAcentral. Lineage: Eukaryota; Fungi; Glomeromycota; Glomeromycetes; Glomerales; Glomeraceae.
AGCAGCCGCGGUAAUUCCAGCUCCAAUAGCGUAUAUUAAAGUUGUUGCAGUUAAAAAGCUCGUAGUUGAAUUUCGGGAUCAAUAUAUCGGUCGUGCCUUUGGUACGUACUGGUAUCAUUUGAUUUCUCCCUUCUGACGAAUCAGGAUGUCAUUAAUUUGGUGUUAUGAGGAGUUAGGACUGUUACUUUGAAAAAAUUGAGUGUUUAAAGCAGGCAUUAGCUUGAAUACAUUAGCAUGGAAUAAUGAAAUAGGACGUUUGACCCUAUUUUGUUGGUUUCUAGGAUCGACGUAAUGAUUAAUAGGGAUAGUUGGGGGCAUUAGUAUUCAAUUGUCAGAGGUGAAAUUCUUGGAUUUAUUGAAGACUAACUACUGCGAAAGCAUUUGCCUAAGGAUGUUUUCAUUAAUACAAAGAACGAAAGUUAGGGAUCGAAGACGAUCAAGAUACCGUCGUAGUACUUAACCAUAAACUAUGCCGACUAGGGAUCGGAUGAUGUACUUAAUUUUAUAAUGACUUCUACG